This 460-nucleotide ribosomal RNA is filed under the name uncultured bacterium. RNAcentral describes it as "partial 16S ribosomal RNA". It matches the Rfam family "Bacterial small subunit ribosomal RNA", at positions 338 to 795 of the family's 1533-position model. The record is from RNAcentral.
CCUACGGGUGGCAGCAGUGGGGAAUAUUGGUCAAUGGACGAGAGCCUGAACCAGCAACGCAGCGUGAAGGAAGACUGCCCUCUGGGUUGUAAACUUUUUUUACAUGGGAGUAAAAUGUUCCACGAGUGGGAUUAUGUAUGUACCAUAUGAAUAAGGAUCGGCCAACUCCGUGACAGCAGCCGCGGUAAUACGGAGGAUUCGAGCGUUAUCCGGAUUUAUUGGGUUUAAAGGGAGCGUAGGUGGAUGUUUAAGUCAGUUGUGAAAGGUUGCGGCUCAACCUUAGGAUUGCAGUUGAAACUGGGAGUCUUGAGUGCAGUAGAGGUGGGCGGAAUGCGUGGUGGAGCGGUGAAAUGCUUAGAUAUCAGGAGGAACUCCGAUUGCGAAGGCAGUUCACUGGACUGCAACUGACGCUGAGGCUCGAAAGUGUGGGGAGCAAACAGGAUUAGAUACCCUUGUAGUC